GACUGGAGCGUCGAUUGAAAAAUUGGGAUUGUUCCUCGCACAAGGUGGAGAAACUAAUAAAUUUGGUGACUGCAACGAAGAGGUGUGAGUGUUGUGUGAUGCGCGGGGCCAUGAGGGAGGAAGCAAUAUUUUCAUCAGCCCGAGAAUAUGAUCACCACACAGCUUCUAGGGCUUUUUCAAGAACCGUCGGUACCAUUGUCAUCUUUGUUGGUGUCUUUGGAUUCAAGACUUCUAUGUCUUACAUGUGAAACUUGUACAAAGAGGGUGUCACAGCCUCCCAUUGAAUAACAAGUUGCGGCUCAAACGCAAGCCAAAGAGACGACAUAUGCAAUUAAGACCCAGCUGAGUAAC
Arabidopsis thaliana (thale cress) is the source of this 351-nucleotide long non-coding RNA. RefSeq annotates it as other RNA. Lineage: Eukaryota; Viridiplantae; Streptophyta; Magnoliopsida; Brassicales; Brassicaceae. The transcript has a single exon. The record is from RefSeq.